Molecule: ribosomal RNA, 245 nt
Filed under: Listeria monocytogenes
Lineage: Bacteria; Bacillati; Bacillota; Bacilli; Caryophanales; Listeriaceae
Description: partial 23S ribosomal RNA
Rfam family: Bacterial large subunit ribosomal RNA
Source: RNAcentral
GUGCGUCCAAGCAGUGAGUGUGAGAAGUAGGCAAAUCCGCUUCUCGCGAAGCAUGAGCUGUGAUGGGGAAGGAAAUUAAGUACGGAAGUUCCUGAUUUCACGCUGUCAAGAAAAGCCGCUAGGAAGAGUAGUACUGCCCGUACCGCAAACCGACACAGGUAGAUGAGGAGAGAAUCCUAAGGUGAGCGAGAGAACUCUCGUUAAGGAACUCGGCAAAAUGACCCCGUAACUUCGGGAGAAGGGGU